GACGAACGCUGGCGGCGUGCUUAACACAUGCAAGUCGAACGAUGAAGCCUAGCUUGCUAGGUGGAUUAGUGGCGAACGGGUGAGUAAUACGUGAGUAACCUACCUUUAACUCUGGGAUAAGCCCGGGAAACUGGGUCUAAUACCGGAUACGACCAAUCUCCGCAUGGGGUGUUGGUGGAAAGCGUUAUGUAGUGGUUAUAGAUGGGCUCACGGCCUAUCAGCUUGUUGGUGAGGUAACGGCUCACCAAGGCGACGACGGGUAGCCGGCCUGAGAGGGUGACCGGUCACACUGGGACUGAGACACGGCCCAGACUCCUACGGGAGGCAGCAGUGGGGAAUAUUGCACAAUGGGCGCAAGCCUGAUGCAGCGACGCCGCGUGAGGGAUGACGGCCUUCGGGUUGUAAACCUCUGUUAGCAGGGAAGAAGAGAGAUUGACGGUACCUGCAGAGAAAGCGCCGGCUAACUACGUG
RNAcentral lists this ribosomal RNA (471 nucleotides) under uncultured bacterium. Its description in RNAcentral is "partial 16S ribosomal RNA". It matches the Rfam family "Bacterial small subunit ribosomal RNA", at positions 28 to 507 of the family's 1533-position model. The record is from RNAcentral.